Molecule: ribosomal RNA, 1372 nt
Filed under: uncultured bacterium
Lineage: Bacteria
Description: bacterial SSU rRNA
Rfam family: Bacterial small subunit ribosomal RNA
Source: RNAcentral
GAUGAACGCUGGCGGCGUGCCUAAUACAUGCAAGUCGAGCGAACGGACGAGAAGCUUGCUUCUCUGAUGUUAGCGGCGGACGGGUGAGUAACACGUGGAUAACCUACCUAUAAGACUGGGAUAACUUCGGGAAACCGGAGCUAAUACCGGAUAAUAUUUUGAACCGCAUGGUUCAAAAGUGAAAGACGGUCUUGCUGUCACUUAUAGAUGGAUCCGCGCUGCAUUAGCUAGUUGGUAAGGUAACGGCUUACCAAGGCAACGAUGCAUAGCCGACCUGAGAGGGUGAUCGGCCACACUGGAACUGAGACACGGUCCAGACUCCUACGGGAGGCAGCAGUAGGGAAUCUUCCGCAAUGGGCGAAAGCCUGACGGAGCAACGCCGCGUGAGUGAUGAAGGUCUUCGGAUCGUAAAACUCUGUCAUUAGGGAAGAACAUAUGUGUAAGUAACUGUGCACAUCUUGACGGUACCUAAUCAGAAAGCCACGGCUAACUACGUGCCAGCAGCCGCGGUAAUACGUAGGUGGCAAGCGUUAUCCGGAAUUAUUGGGCGUAAAGCGCGCGUAGGCGGUUUUUUAAGUCUGAUGUGAAAGCCCACGGCUCAACCGUGGAGGGUCAUUGGAAACUGGAGAACUUGAGUGCAGAAGAGGAAAGUGGAAUUCCAUGUGUAGCGGUGAAAUGCGCAGAGAUAUGGAGGAACACCAGUGGCGAAGGCGACUUUCUGGUCUGUAACUGACGCUGAUGUGCGAAAGCGUGGGGAUCAAACAGGAUUAGAUACCCUGGUAGUCCACGCCGUAAACGAUGAGUGCUAAGUGUUAGGGGGUUUCCGCCCCUUAGUGCUGCAGCUAACGCAUUAAGCACUCCGCCUGGGGAGUACGACCGCAAGGUUGAAACUCAAAGGAAUUGACGGGGACCCGCACAAGCGGUGGAGCAUGUGGUUUAAUUCGAAGCAACGCGAAGAACCUUACCAAAUCUUGACAUCCUUUGACAACUCUAGAGAUAGAGCCUUCCCCUUCGGGGGACAAAGUGACAGGUGGUGCAUGGUUGUCGUCAGCUCGUGUCGUGAGAUGUUGGGUUAGGUCCCGCAACGAGCGCAACCCUUAAGCUUAGUUGCCAUCAUUAAGUUGGGCACUCUAAGUUGACUGCCGGUGACAAACCGGAGGAAGGUGGGGAUGACGUCAAAUCAUCAUGCCCCUUAUGAUUUGGGCUACACACGUGCUACAAUGGACAAUACAAAGGGCAGCGAAACCGCGAGGUCAAGCAAAUCCCAUAAAGUUGUUCUCAGUUCGGAUUGUAGUCUGCAACUCGACUACAUGAAGCUGGAAUCGCUAGUAAUCGUAGAUCAGCAUGCUACGGUGAAUACGUUCCCGGGUCU